Molecule: ribosomal RNA, 492 nt
Filed under: uncultured bacterium
Lineage: Bacteria
Description: partial 16S ribosomal RNA
Rfam family: Bacterial small subunit ribosomal RNA
Source: RNAcentral
AGUGAACGCUGGCGGUAGGCCUAACACAUGCCAGUCGAACGGCAGCACAGUAAGAGCUUGCUCUUACGGGUGGCGAGUGGCGGACGGGUGAGGAAUACAUCGGAAUCUACUUUUUCGUGGGGGAUAACGUAGGGAAACUUACGCUAAUACCGCAUACGACCUACGGGUGAAAGCAGGGGAUCUUCGGACCUUGCGCGAUUGAAUGAGCCGAUGUCGGAUUAGCUAGUUGGCGGGGUAAAGGCCCACCAAGGCGACGAUCCGUAGCUGGUCUGAGAGGAUGAUAAGCCACAAUGGAACUGAAAAACGGGCCAAGCCCCUACGGGAGGGAGCAGUGGGGAAUAUUGGACAAUGGGGGGAAGCCUGAUUCAGGCAUACCGGGGGGGUGAAAAAGGCCCUUGGGUUUGAAAGGCCUUUUGGUGGGAAAGAAAAGGAGGCGGGUUAUACCCCGCUGGUUUGACGGGAACCAAAGAAUAAGCACCGGCUAACUUCGUG